GCCUGAUUGGCUCAGUUGGUUAAGCGGCCGACUUCGACUCAGGUCAUGAUCUCACAUUUGUGAGUUCGAGCCCCACUUCAGGCU
This 84-nucleotide transfer RNA is filed under the name Felis catus (domestic cat). It matches the Rfam family "tRNA". Rfam says of the family: Transfer RNA (tRNA) molecules are approximately 80 nucleotides in length. Their secondary structure includes four short double-helical elements and three loops (D, anti-codon, and T loops). RNAcentral also lists the same sequence under 2 other names. Lineage: Eukaryota; Metazoa; Chordata; Mammalia; Carnivora; Felidae. The record is from Rfam by way of RNAcentral.